Molecule: ribosomal RNA, 255 nt
Filed under: uncultured bacterium
Lineage: Bacteria
Description: partial 16S ribosomal RNA
Rfam family: Bacterial small subunit ribosomal RNA
Source: RNAcentral
UACGGGGGGAGCAAGCGUUGUUCGGAUUUACUGGGCGUAAAGGGCGCGUAGGCGGCCACCGCAAGUCAGUUGUGAAAGCUCUGGGCUUAACCCAGAAAGGUCAACUGAUACUGCGGGGCUAGAGUGCAGAAGGGGCAACUGGAAUUCUCGGUGUAGCGGUGAAAUGCGUAGAUAUCGAGAGGAACACCUGCGGCGAAGGCGGGUUGCUGGGCUGACACUGACGCUGACAGCGCGAAAGCCAGGGGAGCAAACGGG